UUGACAUUUAUUUUUAUUCAGUUUCUUCUCAAGGUGAAGAUAACUCUCUGUUAAUGUCCUAAAGAAAUACAUUAUAGUAGCUUUCUAUUCACCUGUUAUAAGUAAAACGGGUGGUAUGUUCCACUACUGACAUAC
Molecule: non-coding RNA, 135 nt
Organism: Microcebus murinus (gray mouse lemur)
Lineage: Eukaryota; Metazoa; Chordata; Mammalia; Primates; Cheirogaleidae
Source: Ensembl